Non-coding RNA from Photobacterium iliopiscarium, 118 nucleotides. Lineage: Bacteria; Pseudomonadati; Pseudomonadota; Gammaproteobacteria; Vibrionales; Vibrionaceae. The record is from Rfam.
GGUGUCGGCUGAAUCAGAGAUUGGCGGCACAAAUUAAAACAUCUUGUAUUAGGAAUAAGUUAUGUCUCUGAAUGCAGAAACUAAAGCAGCAAUCGUUGCAGAUUACGCACAAUGUGAA